This 489-nucleotide ribosomal RNA is filed under the name uncultured bacterium. Its description in RNAcentral is "bacterial SSU rRNA". It matches the Rfam family "Bacterial small subunit ribosomal RNA", at positions 28 to 507 of the family's 1533-position model. The record is from RNAcentral.
GACGAACGCUGGCGGCGUGGAUUAGGCAUGCAAGUCGAACGGUAUCUAGUCCUUUCGGGGGUGAGAGAGUGGCGAACUGGUGAGUAACUACGUAGGUUAUCUACCCUCAAGACGGGACAACCCAGGGAAACUUGGGCUAAUACCGGAUGUGAGCAACUUUUAGUUGUUUGAAAGGUGGCGUAAGCUGUCGCUUGGGGAUGAGCCUGCGUCCUAUUAGUUAGUUGGUGAGGUAACGGCUCACCUAGGCAAUGAUAGGUAGGCGGCCUUAACGGGUGGUCGCCCACACUGGGAUUGAGAUACGGCCCAGACUCCUACGGGAGGCAGCAGUCGAGAAUAGUCUACAAUGGUCGGAAGACUGAUAGUGCGACGCCGCGUGAACGAUGAAUCCCUUCGGGGUGUAAAGUUCUUUUAUAUGUGAGCAGUGCUUCUUAUAUUAACAGUAUGGGGAGAGAGAUAUUAGCAUAUGAAUAAGCAACGGCUAACUCCGUG